AAUCAACGCUGGCGGCGUGCCUCAGACAUGCAAGUCGAACGAUUAAAGCUCUCUUCGGAGAGUGUAUAGAGUGGCGCACGGGUGAGUAACACGUAAGUAAUCUACCUUUGAGUGGGGAAUAACGUCCGGAACGGACGCUAAUACCGCAUAAUGCAGCGGCAUCGCAAGAUGACAGUUGUUAAAGAUUUAUCGCUUGAAGAGGAGCUUGCGGCAGAUUAGCUAGUUGGUAAGGUAAUGGCUUACCAAGGCUACGAUCUGUAACCGGUCUAAGAGGACGGUCGGUCACACUGACACUGAAUAACGGGUC
Molecule: ribosomal RNA, 307 nt
Filed under: uncultured bacterium
Lineage: Bacteria
Description: bacterial SSU rRNA
Rfam family: Bacterial small subunit ribosomal RNA
Source: RNAcentral